GCUGGGCAUGUUGGCACAUGCCUGUAAUCCCAGCUACUUGGGAGGCUGAGGCAGGAGGAUCACUUGAACCCAGGAGGCAGAGGUUGCAGUGAGUCGAGAUCGCACCAUUGCACUCCAGCCUGGGUGACAGAGUGAGACUCUACCUCAA
Macaca fascicularis (crab-eating macaque) is the source of this 148-nucleotide unclassified non-coding RNA. It matches the Rfam family "Metazoan signal recognition particle RNA". From Rfam's summary of the family: The signal recognition particle (SRP) is a universally conserved ribonucleoprotein. Lineage: Eukaryota; Metazoa; Chordata; Mammalia; Primates; Cercopithecidae. The record is from Ensembl.